RNAcentral lists this ribosomal RNA (1902 nucleotides) under Trechosiella sp. DRM-2010. Its description in RNAcentral is "SSU rRNA". It matches the Rfam family "Eukaryotic small subunit ribosomal RNA". The record is from RNAcentral. Lineage: Eukaryota; Metazoa; Arthropoda; Insecta; Coleoptera; Carabidae.
GCAUGUCUCAGUACAAACCAAAAUAAGGUGAAACCGCGAAAGGCUCAUUAAAUCAGUUAUGGUUCCUUAGAUCGUACCCACAUUUACUUGGAUAACUGUGGUAAUUCUAGAGCUAAUACAUGCACACAGAGCUCCAACCGGAUACGGAAGGAGUGCUUUUAUUAGAUCAAAACCAAUCGGCGACAAUGUAGUUCCGCUAUGUUGUUUGUCGCAAUACUUGGUGACUCUGAAUAACUUUUAGCUGAUCGCACGGUCUUGCACCGGCGACGCAUCUUUCAAAUGUCUGCCUUAUCAACUGUCGAUGGUAGGUUCUGCGCCUACCAUGGUUGUAACGGGUAACGGGGAAUCAGGGUUCGAUUCCGGAGAGGGAGCCUGAGAAACGGCUACCACAUCCAAGGAAGGCAGCAGGCGCGCAAAUUACCCACUCCCGGCUCGGGGAGGUAGUGACGAAAAAUAACGAUACGGGACUCAUCCGAGGCCCCGUAAUCGGAAUGAGAACACUUUAAAUCCUAUAACAAAAGUCCAUUGGAGGGCCAGUCUGGUGCCAGCAGCCGCGGUAAUACCAGCUCCAAUAGCGUAUAUUAAAAUUGUUGCGGUUAAAAAGCUCGUAGUUGAAUUUGUGUCCCGCGCUGUCGGUUCACCGCCCGCGGUGUUUAACUGGCACGUCUCGCGGGACGUCCUGCCGGUGGGUGUGUGGUCUUUGUCUACUUCCCCACCGUAUUAUGCGUGUGCCUUCGGGUUACUGCAUAUAUGGUGUGUGGGGUUUCAAUUGUACCACCAUCCGUCUAAGUUUUCCUGUCGCGGUGCUCUUAAUUGAGUGUCGAGGCGGGCCGGCACGUUUACUUUGAACAAAUUAGAGUGCUUAAAGCAGGCGAAAAUUUUGCCUGAAUAUUGUGUGCAUGGAAUAAUGGAACAGGACCUCGGUUCUAUUUUGUUGGUUUUCGGAACCCCGAGGUAAUGAUUAAUAGGGACAGAUGGGGGCAUUCGUAUUGCGACGUUAGAGGUGAAAUUCUUGGAUCGUCGCAAGACGGACAGAAGCGAAAGCAUUUGCCAAAAAUGUUUUCAUUAAUCAAGAACGAAAGUCAGAGGUUCGAAGGCGAUCAGAUACCGCCCUAGUUCUGACCAUAAACGAUGCCAGCUAGCGAUCCGCCGACGUUCCUCCGAUGACUCGGCGGGCAGCUUCCGGGAAACCAAAGCUUUUGGGAUCCGGGGGAAGUAUGGUUGCAAAGCUGAAACUUAAAGGAAUUGACGGAAGGGCACCACCAGGAGUGGAGCCUGCGGCUUAAUUCGACUCAACACGGUACAACCUACCAGGCCCGGACACCGGAAGGAUUGACAGAUUGAGAGCUCUUUCUUGAUUCGGUGGGUGGUGGUGCAUGGCCGUUUUUAGUCGGUGGAUUGAUUUGUCUGGUUAAUUCCGUUAACGGACGAGACUCUAACCUGCUAACUAGGCGUUAUUUACCGGUAUCCUGAAGGCUCGUGUCUCCCGUUCCCUCUUUUAUGGUAACUGUUAUGUUUUAGCGUUUCCGACGUUACUGCAUACUUUAUUAUAAAUGUAGCGCGGGUUGUUACACGGUUUUUACUACCGGCGUCCACAUGAAUCUUCUUAGAGGGACAGGCGGCUUUUAGCCGCACGAGAUUGAGCAACAACAGGUCCGAAAUGCCCUUAGAUGUUCUGGGCCGCACGCGCGCUACACUGAAGGAAUCAGCGUGUUUUCCCUGGCCGAACGGUCCGGGUAACCCGUUGAACCUCCUUCGUGCUAGGGAUUGGGGCUUGCAAUUUUUCCCCAUGAACGAGGAAUUCCUAGUAAGCAUAAUUCAUUAAAUUGUGUUGAUUAGGUCCCUGUCCUUUGUACACACCGCCCGUCGCUACUACCGAUUGAAUGAUUUAGUGAGGUCUUC